RNAcentral lists this ribosomal RNA (460 nucleotides) under uncultured bacterium. RNAcentral describes it as "SSU rRNA". It matches the Rfam family "Bacterial small subunit ribosomal RNA", at positions 26 to 518 of the family's 1533-position model. The record is from RNAcentral.
AGAAUCAACGCUGGCGGCGUGCCUAACACAUGCAAGUCGAACGAGAAAGUGGAGCAAUCCAUGAGUAAAGUGGCGCACGGGUGAGUAACACGUGACUAACCUACCCUUGAGUGGGGGAUAACCUAGAGAAAUCUGGGCUAAUACCGCAUAAUACCUUCGGGUCAAAGGAGCAAUUCGCUUUAGGAGGGGGUCGCGGCCGAUUAGUUAGUUGGCGGGGUAAUGGCCCACCAAGACUGUGAUCGGUAUCCGGCCUGAGAGGGCGCACGGACACACUGGAACUGAAACACGGUCCAGACUCCUACGGGAGGCAGCAGUGGGGAAUUUUGCGCAAUGGGGGAAACCCUGACGCAGCAACGCCGCGUGGAGGAUGAAGCCCCUUGGGGCGUAAACUCCUUUCGAUCGGGAAGAUAAUGACGGUACCGAGAGAAGAAGCCCCGGCUAACUUCGCGCCAGCAGCCGC